GGUUAAGUGACUAAGCGUAUACGGUGGAUGCCUUGGCAGUCAGAGGCGAUGAAAGACGUAGUAACUUGCGAUAAGCCCAGAUUAGGUAGUAACAACCAUUUGAGUCUGGGAUUUCUGAAUGGGGAAACCCACGUGCAUAAGCACGUAUCCUUACCUGAAUACAUAGGGUAAGGAGGCGAACCGGGGGAACUGAAACAUCUAAGUACCCCGAGGAAAAGAAAUCAACCGAGAUUCCGAAAGUAGCGGCGAGCGAAAUUGGACUAGCCCUUAAGCUUUACACGCGUUAGACGAACGGUCUGGAAAGUCCGACGAUACAGGGUGAUAGUCCCGUAGUUGACGACGUGUGUUCAGUGAAAUCGAGUAGGGCGGGACACGUGAUAUCCUGUCUGAAUAUGGGGGGACCAUCCUCCAAGGCUAAAUACUACUGACUGACCGAUAGUGAACCAGUACCGUGAGGGAAAGGCGAAAAGAACCCCUGUGAGGGGAGUGAAAUAGAACCUGAAACCGUGUACGUACAAGCAGUAGGAGCAGGCUUUGUCCUGUGACUGCGUACCUUUUGUAUAAUGGGUCAGCGACUUAUAUUCAGUGGCAAGGUUAACCAUCUAGGGGAGCCGUAGGGAAACCGAGUCUUAACUGGGCGUUCAGUCUCUGGAUAUAGACCCGAAACCAGGUGAUCUAGCCAUGGGCAGGUUGAAGGUUGAGUAACAUCAACUGGAGGACCGAACCGACUAAUGUUGAAAAAUUAGCGGAUGACUUGUGGCUAGGGGUGAAAGGCCAAUCAAACCUGGAGAUAGCUGGUUCUCCCCGAAAGCUAUUUAGGUAGCGCCUCGGACGAAUACUACUGGGGGUAGAGCACUGUUAAGGCUAGGGGGUCAUCCCGACUUACCAACCCUUUGCAAACUCCGAAUACCAGUAAGUACUAUCCGGGAGACACACGGCGGGUGCUAACGUCCGUCGUGGAGAGGGAAACAACCCAGACCGCCAGCUAAGGUCCCAAAUUACUACUAAGUGGGAAACGAUGUGGGAAGGCUCAGACAGCCAGGAUGUUGGCUUAGAAGCAGCCAUCAUUUAAAGAAAGCGUAAUAGCUCACUGGUCGAGUCGGCCUGCGCGGAAGAUGUAACGGGGCUAAGUAGUAAACCGAAGCUGCGGCAAUGUGCUUUUGCACAUUGGGUAGGGGAGCGUUCUGUAAGCGGUUGAAGGUGUGUGGUAACGCAUGCUGGACGUAUCAGAAGUGCGAAUGCUGACAUGAGUAACGAUAAAGGGGGUGAAAAACCUCCUCGCCGGAAGACCAAGGGUUCCUGUCCAACGUUAAUCGGGGCAGGGUAAGUCGACCCCUAAGGCGAGGCCGAAAGGCGUAGUCGAUGGGAAACGGGUUAAUAUUCCCGUACUUCUUACAAUUGCGAUGGGGGGACGGAGAAGGCUAGGUGGGCCUGGCGACGGUUGUCCAGGUUCAAGUGCGUAGGCUUAAGAGUUAGGUAAAUCCGGCUCUUUUUAAGGCUGAGACACGACGUCGAGCACCUACGGGUGUGAAGUCAUUGAUGCCAUGCUUCCAGGAAAAGCCUCUAAGCUUCAGAUUGUAAGGAAUCGUACCCCAAACCGACACAGGUGGUCGGGUAGAGAAUACCAAGGCGCUUGAGAGAACUCGGGUGAAGGAACUAGGCAAAAUGGUACCGUAACUUCGGGAGAAGGUACGCUCUUGAUGGUGAAGUCCCUUGCGGAUGGAGCUGACGAGAGUCGCAGAUACCAGGUGGCUGCAACUGUUUAUUAAAAACACAGCACUGUGCAAAAUCGUAAGAUGACGUAUACGGUGUGACGCCUGCCCGGUGCCGGAAGGUUAAUUGAUGGGGUUAGACUUCGGUCGAAGCUCUUGAUCGAAGCCCCGGUAAACGGCGGCCGUAACUAUAACGGUCCUAAGGUAGCGAAAUUCCUUGUCGGGUAAGUUCCGACCUGCACGAAUGGCGUAAUGAUGGCCACGCUGUCUCCACCCGAGACUCAGUGAAAUUGAAAUCGCUGUGAAGAUGCAGUGUACCCGCGGCUAGACGGAAAGACCCCGUGAACCUUUACUACAGCUUGGCACUGAACAUUGACCCUACAUGUGUAGGAUAGGUGGGAGGCUUUGAAGCACGUACGCCAGUAUGUGUGGAGCCGUCCUUGAAAUACCACCCUUGUAGUGUUGAUGUUCUAACGUCGACCCCUAAUCGGGGUUGCGGACAGUGCCUGGUGGGUAGUUUGACUGGGGCGGUCUCCUCCCAAAGAGUAACGGAGGAGCACGAAGGUGGGCUAAUCACGGUUGGACAUCGUGAGGUUAGUGCAAUGGCAUAAGCCCGCUUGACUGCGAGAAUGACAAUUCGAGCAGGUGCGAAAGCAGGUCAUAGUGAUCCGGUGGUUCUGAAUGGAAGGGCCAUCGCUCAACGGAUAAAAGGUACUCCGGGGAUAACAGGCUGAUACCGCCCAAGAGUUCAUAUCGACGGCGGUGUUUGGCACCUCGAUGUCGGCUCAUCACAUCCUGGGGCUGAAGUCGGUCCCAAGGGUAUGGCUGUUCGCCAUUUAAAGUGGUACGCGAGCUGGGUUUAGAACGUCGUGAGACAGUUCGGUCCCUAUCUGCCGUGGGCGUUGGAAGAUUGAAGGGGGCUGCUCCUAGUACGAGAGGACCGGAGUGGACGAACCUCUGGUGUUCGGGUUGUGUCGCCAGACGCAUUGCCCGGUAGCUAAGUUCGGAAUCGAUAACCGCUGAAAGCAUCUAAGCGGGAAGCGAGCCCUGAGAUGAGUCUUCCCUGAUACUUUAAGUAUCCUAAAGGGUUGUCGGAGACUACGACGUUGAUAGGUCAGGUGUGUAAGUGCUGUGAGGCAUUGAGCUAACUGAUACUAAUUGCCCGUGAGGCUUAACCAU
This 2891-nucleotide ribosomal RNA is filed under the name Vibrio parahaemolyticus. RNAcentral's name for it is "23S ribosomal RNA". It matches the Rfam family "Bacterial large subunit ribosomal RNA". The record is from RNAcentral. Lineage: Bacteria; Pseudomonadati; Pseudomonadota; Gammaproteobacteria; Vibrionales; Vibrionaceae.